RNAcentral lists this ribosomal RNA (539 nucleotides) under Klebsiella michiganensis. RNAcentral's name for it is "partial 23S ribosomal RNA". It matches the Rfam family "Bacterial large subunit ribosomal RNA", at positions 2263 to 2801 of the family's 2925-position model. Lineage: Bacteria; Pseudomonadati; Pseudomonadota; Gammaproteobacteria; Enterobacterales; Enterobacteriaceae. The record is from RNAcentral.
GGGUAGUUUGACUGGGGCGGUCUCCUCCUAAAGAGUAACGGAGGAGCACGAAGGUCAGCUAAUCCUGGUCGGACAUCAGGAGGUUAGUGCAAUGGCAUAAGCUGGCUUGACUGCGAGCGUGACGGCGCGAGCAGGUGCGAAAGCAGGUCAUAGUGAUCCGGUGGUUCUGAAUGGAAGGGCCAUCGCUCAACGGAUAAAAGGUACUCCGGGGAUAACAGGCUGAUACCGCCCAAGAGUUCAUAUCGACGGCGGUGUUUGGCACCUCGAUGUCGGCUCAUCACAUCCUGGGGCUGAAGUAGGUCCCAAGGGUAUGGCUGUUCGCCAUUUAAAGUGGUACGCGAGCUGGGUUUAGAACGUCGUGAGACAGUUCGGUCCCUAUCUGCCGUGGGCGCUGGAGAAUUGAGGGGGGCUGCUCCUAGUACGAGAGGACCGGAGUGGACGCAUCACUGGUGUUCGGGUUGUCAUGCCAAUGGCAUUGCCCGGUAGCUAAAUGCGGAAGAGAUAAGUGCUGAAAGCAUCUAAGCACGAAACUUGCCCCG